Homo sapiens (human) is the source of this 4584-nucleotide long non-coding RNA. Ensembl annotates it as BACE1 antisense RNA. Its record names the gene BACE1-AS. Lineage: Eukaryota; Metazoa; Chordata; Mammalia; Primates; Hominidae. The record is from Ensembl.
GUUCAACAUUAUGCUUUUAAGGAUUAGAUAGAAGAGGUCUCCUACCUAUUCCUUUUAGCACCUUGGCUGCAAAGCUCCAGAGGAAGAUUUGGGGGAAAGAGUGAGCCUAUGACCAGGAAGACAGAGCCCAGCCCUGCUAUAGUCCAGUUGCUCUCCCACAGGGCACCUGGAGCUUAGGGGGUUAGGAUAUUUCAGUGCUGCCUAUCAUAUGUAGAAUAAAGGGUGGUUCAGAUAGAGACAAUGAAAUUAAUAUGGCAGAAAUUCAUGUGUUAAGUGGAACUUCUUAGUGGGCACUUCAUUUAAGAGAGCUAAAAAAGAGCUCUUUGGCUAGAUAAGCCCUUCCCAUCUCACUUUUGGUCAGGCUGCAACCACAGAAAAGAAAACAUUGAAAACAACACCCAUCUUCUGAGAUGGGAUGCUAUCUUGGAGAUGAGGUCUAAAACUAGGACUGGUGAGUGGUUGUGUUUCUGCCUUUCCUAGCUUUGAUCCCACUAUUCCCUGUCUUUGUACUCCCUCUCCUUCUCCUCUUUCCAGCCGCCCCCAUUUGUAUAAAUAGUCAAUCUAGUUUUUUUUUUUAAUUCAAGAGGCAAUCUUUGCACCAAUGUUAGGCUUGUUUAUACAGUCCCUGUCUCUAAAGCAAAUAGCAAACUGUGCAUCCUCUCCUACUGACUUUGGCCAGCAGGGAAACAAGCUUGGUCUCUUCUCUGCCAGGGUACCACAGGGACACACGCCAAGGUAACCUGCGUGUGAUGCCAGUACUUCUGAAACUAAGAAAAGAAGAAUACUUUGGGUUGGAGAAUUUAAAGGAAUGGUGGACAAAGGUUCAGGGCUGAAGUUUCAAGCAGCAGAAUUUCCCGACUUAAAUUUGAGGUGACCAAGAGUAUUCCCGCCAGCAGAGUGCUUCUUUCUUCUCUUUUCUGUUUCCUACAGGUACAGUCCCUGGAACCCACCUUGCCAGCCUUUUCCUUCUCCAUCAAGGCAGAGGCAUUUGGUGGGUGGGGAGGGUCCUGAGGUGCUCUGGCCACAGGUGCCAUCUGUGUCUCCUACUUGUGACCAAAGUGAACCACGGAGGUGUGGUCCAGGGGAAUCUCUAUCUUCUGCCCAUGGGCCUCCUCACUUCAGCAGGGAGAUGUCAUCAGCAAAGUCAUCAUGCUGCUGGCGCAGGCAGCGGAGGCAGCGCCACUGACACACCAUGAGGCAGAGUGGCAGCAUGAAGAGGGCGCAGAUGGCAGCCAUGACAUAGGCUAUGGUCAUGAGGGUUGACUCAUCUGUCUGUGGAAUGUUGUAGCCACAGUCUUCCAUGUCCAAGGUGACAAAAGGGCCUUCCACCGCUGCCGUCCUGAACUCAUCGUGCACUGGGGAGAGGGCAAAUGUGAAUGGACAGCUCUCAUUGUCAUAGAGGAGUUAACAAAAAGAACUUCCUGAUAGUGAGGCCUUGAAAUUAGCCCAUGCAGAAGUUAUCUAAUCUCCUUCCCAGGAGAUAUUUAGGAGCAGGCUGGGAAGCCAGCACCAGGUAGAGGCCUGUCUCCCUUCCCAAGUCACUGGGAGCAGCAGCCCUUCCUUGUAUACCCAGCUGGUAGGAGUGAUAACUAAAAGUCAGUAGUUCUGAGUUGACCAAAAGCCACCCCCUUGACCAAAAGCCAAAUCUAGUAAACUUAACUUUCUGCUGCUGAAAUCCAACUGCAAAACCCUGCCACCUUUCUGAAGUAGCAUUCAGCCUCACCAUGUGGCAGCUGACAGGGUCACUAUAGACUCAGUCUGCUACCCUUGCAUCAAGAGCUUCCCAAGGUACCCAGGUAACUCUUGCUGCUCUGGGUUUCCAACAGAGGUUACCAAUCCAGGCAGUGGUCAUUAUGGCAGGCAGUACAAAAAAAGGACGAGCAUUGACACUAGCUUUUGCACAACUGUUGACUUGGGUUUGAGGCAACUGUUACUACCCUCCCCUAAACUGACAGGGACCCAGGUAUACUAACUGUUGUUUGACAAGGAAAAUAUGGAGAGACUGACCCCAAACCCUCAGCCCUGGCACUCUCACCAUGGCAAGCGCUGACAGCAAAGCCAAUUCGUUUUCGGGCCCGAUCAAAGACAACGUAGAAGCCCUCCAUGAUAACAGCUCCCAUAACAGUGCCCGUGGAUGACUGUGAGAUGGCAAACUUGUAACAGUCGUCUUGGGACGUGGCCACAUCUUCCACUGGCCGCAGGUAUUGCUAGGGGUAAGCAAUCACAGGGUGAGUGUCUUCCUCACUCUCCUUCACCCCAUCUCUGCCUUGUAGGCAUCUAUGCCCUUCCCUUUACCAUCCCUGAGCUCUAACGGGUUUUCUGAGACCCCUUUACUGCUGGACACUACUCAUCUGUUUUGUCUUCCAAGUUCUGGCAAGCCAUACCUGCUCACUGUCUCCCAGUGUGUACUUUUAAGAGAGAUCCCCCUGACUCAGGCUGGGACAUACCUGCGGAAGGAUGGUGAUGCGGAAGGACUGGUUGGUAACCUCACCCAUUAGGUAGAGUGAGAUGACUGGGAAAAUGUUCCAAGGGGUGGUGCCUGCUUGCCAGCACACCAGCUGCUCUCCUAGCCAGAAACCAUCAGGGAACUUCUCCGUCUGUGUUGGCAAGAAGGGGAUAACAAUGAGGAAAAGCCUCUUUAUCAUCUCGCCCCUCCCAUGUUCAGAUACAUUAACUGGGCCCUUCAUUUGCUUUUCCAGUGAAAUAUCUAAAGUGGGGAGGGGUAAACCAACCAGAGGAUUACAGGAAGAGAGAGGGAGUGUGAUGUCAAACUUUUGUACCGGGGGAUUGUGUGAUGAGCAAAGUGACAGCCAUAAAGGGGAAGAGUUUUUUUUUUUUUUUUGAAACAGUGUCUCACUCUGUUGCCCAGGCUGGAGUGCAGUGGCGCAAUCAUGGCUCACCGCAACCUCCACCGUCCUGAGUUAAAGUGAUUCUCCUGUCUCAGCCCCCUGAGUAGCUAGGAUUACAGGCGUGCGCCACCACACCCAGCUAAUUUUUGUACUUUUAGUAGAGAUGGGAUUUCACCCUGUUGGUCAGGCUGGUCUUGAACUCCUGACCUAGUGAUCUGCCCACCUUGGCCUCCCAAAGUGCUGGGAUUACAGGCGUGAGCCACCACGCCUGGCUAGGGGAAGAGUGUUUUAAGAGCUCUGAGUAGAAGGGUCUAAGUGCAGACAUCUUGGCUGUUGCUGAAGAAUGUGACUCUCACCGCCUCCCUCUGACACUGUACCAUCUCUUUUACCCCCAUCCUUAGUCCACUCACGGAGGAGGCUGCCUUGAUGGAUUUGACUGCAGCUUCAAACACUUUCUUGGGCAAACGAAGAUGGAGUAUUAGCUCUGUCACCCAGGCUGGAGUACAGUGGCGUGAUCUCGGCUCACUCUAACCUCUGCCUCCUGGAUUCAAACCAUUCUUUUGCCUCAGCCUCCCAAGUAGCUGGGACUACAGGUGCCUGCCACCACGCCUGGCUAUUUUUAGUAGAGAUGGGGUUUCACCAUGUUGACCAGGCUGGUCUCGAAUUUCUGACCUCAAAUGAUCUGCCCCCGCCUUGGCCUCCCAGAGUGCUGGGAUUACAGCCACGCCCGGCCGCUUUUAACUUUUCUUAGUACAUUUAUAUCUAUUCUAAUUUAACAUACAUAAGAAUCUAGGGAAGGAAGACAUAAAUGAUUUAGUUACCUUUUAUUGAGUACUGCCAACCACAGAGAUAAACACUUUACACAUUAUCUCUGAUAUUCUGAGAAAGUUGUUUUUACCUGUUUUGCAGAUAAGGAAACUGAGACACAGAAUAGUAACUGGCCUAAGGGUACAUAGCUAGUACAAAUCAGAGCUAGAUUCAGAUCUGGGUCUUCCUGACUCCAAAGACAAGACUCUUCAUUCUAUCACCCUGUCUCACAAAAGACUUGCCCAAGGCUACGAAGCAAGGCAGUGACUAGAGUCCAGACAUCAGAACUAGUUCCAUGUUUUUUUUUUCACUACCAGUCCCUAGGCCCCAAACCGCAGAUCCUGCUGUGUGACCAUUAAGCCCCUGACUGUUCUAGGCUCAACUUCCAACCCUUUCUGCAGGUCCUAUUACCUCUGCCUCAUCCUCCCAACAUGAUAACCAGAGUCUUCCUUCACAUUGUACUGCCUACCCCCUUAUGUUCCCAGGCUCUCCCUUGGUUUUCUUACCUCCUUGCAGUCCAUUUUCAGAUCCUGUCCAUUGAUCUCCACCCGCACAAUGAUCACCUCAUAAUACCACUCCCGCCGGAUGGGUGUAUACCAGAGACUGCCUGUGUACAGCGAGUGGUCGAUACCUCCAAUGAUCUAGGGAAAAAAAGAGGCAGGUACCCGUGUCCUGGCACAGAAGGAGAGUGAGUCCCCCAAGGACCAAGCAAUAAGAUCAGUGAUUUCUUGGGGUGGCAAGGUCUUCUACAGGCUACCCUUUUCAUCUUCCUGCUUCUAAACAAAUCAUACCCAAAGUGAUUUCUAGUUUCUUAAAUGUGUUCAGGAGAAAAGACUUUCCGGGAUUUUUAAUUAUUUGUUUCAGAAUCAUACAGCCCUUGAUAUAAAGUUAUUUAAAUCUAAACUGCCACAAUAAAUGUUGAAUGAAU